UUAGCUUGCUUUCGCUUAAAAUUCUAACCUAAUUGAGGAUAUAUUGUUGCGCCUCUGUUUUUUGUGCGCUUCAUUUCGCGAUUUUCAGGAUUUAAUCCUACUUUUCAUCCUUUUCAACUCUUUUAAAGUCGUUUGUGGAUUGUGAUAAUUUGAUUUUGACUGAGAAAAAUAAGUUUCAACUAUGAUGUUUCACAAUUUGGGAUAGCUAUGUAAUCCAACAGAUAUGCCUUUUAAUUUCUAUGACCUUCUUUAUUUUUUUUCCUCCUCUCAUGGGUUACACAAAAAGCAUGAAUUUGUUUAAAAAAUUCAUGUCUAAUUUCAUAUUUCCCUGCCUUAGAUGUGAGGAUGGGUGAGAUGCCCAAUUUAGUGUUCAAUUUGAUAAGAAAUAGAUAAAUGAUGUUGAAUGGCAUAAUAUAAGCAACAUAUACAAUGAGCGAAAAUUUAAUGUACAUAUCAGUUCUGAAACAGUAGAAGAUUUGAAUUAGUGUUAAUUUCACAAGCACAUAUAUGUUUAUAGAUUAUUGAAAAGAAAGUUAAUAGUAAUCGUACUUAGAUCACAUUGUUAAUAGAAGGAUAUACCAUUUUAAAUCCAAGUCCGAAUCCUUGAAACUUUUUGUGCAUAUCCGGAGAUUGGAGCUGCUAAUCUUGAAACACAAUGAAUCAUAUGGUAAGAUUUCACUAAAAGCUAGAAGCUAUUACAUAAGUGAUGGACUCACAUAUUUAAUUUCAUUGUUCUGAAAUAUUAUCCCGUUAAUCUCCCUAUAUAAUUACUUUUCCAUGAAAACCAUACAAUUUUUUUCCAGACACUUCAAGAAACAACAGAAUUUCAUUUAGAAGAUAAUCUACAAAAUAAUAUCAAUAUGGCAAGUAAUUUUUCGAAAAGGCAGAUUCUCAUGCCAGGACUAAAAUUUGAAAAAGAAAAAAGAAAAAAAUCAGAAAUAAAAUUCAUUAAUGAUUUUGGUUUACGAACUAACUAUCAUGUACAUGAAGAUUUAUUGAUAGAUUUUCAAUAGAGGAUAAAACAAAGAAAAGAAUUUCUAAGAUAUCAAUGAAAGAUGUAGCAUUUAGGAAAUUAGAAACUUACAUCUUUUGCCAUCUUCAAUAUUUAGGCUAUCAAGACUAAGGAUUGUUCUAUUCAUCAUGUACUUUCAAUCUGACUUGAAUCACAAUUUAAGUAAGGUUUUCCAUGAGGAGAAAUGACUCAGUUUCUGCUAACAAGUAUAUUUCUAAGAUAUCAUGAAUAAAUCAGAAAUAAUUUUUAUUUGUAUUCUAUGUCAGAGAAAAUGCUUCUUGAGUGAGUUAAUAUUGUAAUUAACAACAACAACAACAAAAAGGUAAAUAUUGUAUAGUUGGUGACAUCAAUCUUAUUAUUAGUAGAGUUGACGCCAAAGAUUCACCUUGUACAAGAAUUGGUUAAUAUCAUUUCCCUCUUAAAGAAACAUAGUGAAUAUAUGGUUUAUGCUCUCUAACUCUUGUAGUUGAGUUGUAUAAGUUGCUCCAUUUAUAGCUAUUGUAGUUCCUGACUUCUUGUGAAUGAGGAGGAUUUACAGGUUCAAUUAAGGAACCAUUAGAUGCUAUUGCAAUUUUUGUUCUAGGUAGUGUUCAGAAAAUAAAAGUCAGAUAUAUUUGGGUCUCAAUAGUAUUUUUUAUUAAUCUGACUCUAUUCGCUUCUGAUGUUACCUCUGCCAGCAAACUAUUUCUGUUUACUUCAUGUGUUUUAAUUUCUAUAAUUGCAGUUUUGUAGGAAUAAUGGGUUCUGAACAAAAAAACAAACAUGUUUGCUCCGCAAAAUCGGAAGCUGAGAUGAAACUUAGGCGACAUGAAACAUACAGACUAAUAUCUGCAGAAAAAAAGGAAGCACUGUUACAACAGCGACGAACAAAAAGACGAGUUAAAAAGGAGUGGUCUUUCUGAGAAUGUUGCUUUUCCUAGCACUACUGCAGCUGCAACUGAGUUUCAGCAACAAAAUGUUCCUCUUAGGGGCUCUUCUUUUGUUUCAAGAACAGCCAACGAGGGUCGCGUUGAUGCUUUACCUGUUACAUUUGACAUGCAAAAGAGUAUAACUUGUCCCUUCUACUCCUUUGAAGUAGGCAAGUAUCGAGGAUGCAACGUUGACUUUUAGACAAUGUCUUUAUUUAUUGCUAAUUUAUUACUUUUUGGCGUUGGGCUCCACGUCACGUGCAUCCAAUGAAAACAGUAGUAUGAGCUCAACAAUGGUUGGAAAAAAAGGUUUGCACCAAUUUUUUAUUAUGAUAGUGUUGUAUAUUACCUAAUUGGUAAUUUUAUGCUAAUGAUACCUAAAUAUACAGGUUAUAACUCAAAAAAAAGUGUUGUACAUACGUAGGACAGUUACAAUCUGAUUAUAUUCCCUUGAAAACUGUUCCUAAUUGUAAAUUUUGUGGUGCAAAAAAAAUUUGAAUAUGAA
Molecule: long non-coding RNA, 2425 nt
Organism: Nicotiana attenuata
Lineage: Eukaryota; Viridiplantae; Streptophyta; Magnoliopsida; Solanales; Solanaceae
Exons: 2
Source: RefSeq, a predicted model, not a curated record